Molecule: long non-coding RNA, 555 nt
Filed under: Chrysemys picta bellii (western painted turtle)
Lineage: Eukaryota; Metazoa; Chordata; Testudines; Emydidae
Description: lncRNA (ENSCPBG00000000407.1)
Source: RNAcentral
AGCUGGCAAUACCUGGCAUAUGUGUUUGGUCCACAAGUCUGGGUCCAAUCUUGAAAACAGGACUUACUGGGUUGGGAUUGGAGCAACACUCCUGAUGACACGGAGCUCCAAUGAUAGCCCCCCUACACUGCAGACUCUGAGAUCCCUCCACCUUACUUCGGAUGUCUUCUGCACCAGUCUACUGAGGUCACCCUGUGAUCAUGGUGACUCUCCACCAGCACACAGGAUAAAACAGGCAGAAACCAUGAAAACGCUUUUAGAAGCAGAGAUCCAAACAGCCAAGAAAACUCUGGAGGAGGAGCGUGUGUCAGCCUCACAAAAGGAACUUUACCUCAGGAAGCUGAACUCAUCAUUGACCGUGUCGAGAAGAGCCAGCCAGCGCAGCCACAUGCAGCUUUGGGCUGAUGUCCACAAACUAGGGAAAAAGCUACAGGAAUGCAAACUGGCUUUUGGUGUCGAAGAUGAGAUUUUCAGAAAGAUAAAACACCAAACCCGAGAAUUGGAGGAAUCCAUAAAAGAAUAUGAGGCAGUAAUCCAGGUAAAACUUCCACAUGA